Transfer RNA from Calocera viscosa, 79 nucleotides. It matches the Rfam family "tRNA". Rfam says of the family: Transfer RNA (tRNA) molecules are approximately 80 nucleotides in length. Their secondary structure includes four short double-helical elements and three loops (D, anti-codon, and T loops). Lineage: Eukaryota; Fungi; Basidiomycota; Dacrymycetes; Dacrymycetales; Dacrymycetaceae. The record is from Rfam.
GGCCGACUGGCCCAAUGGCAAGGCGUCUGACUACGAUGGUGUAAUCAGGAGAUUGCAGGUUCGAUCCCUGCGUCGGUCA